CGCCCCGUCCACCCCCGCCCCCGCAGGGGGUACCUCUGGCCCCGCCCACGCGCCGGCUGCCGUCUUUCUAUUGGCUGUGCCGCGCCAUCGCCGUAGGGCCAUUGGUCAGUCCAGAAGCCAAUCAGCGGCUGACGACUUAUAAACAGCGGGGCUGGCGGGGGGGAGCUGCUUCUUGACACGCGGCGCCGGCAGGUAAGCGCAUGCGCGGGCGGUGUGCUGUGGGGGGCUGAGCCGGUAACGGCUCCUCCCUCCCGUGAGGGUGCCGUUGGCGUGUGUGACUUGCCUGUUGAGGGUUCGCACCCGGCUGUGUCUUCCAAGAGUCCGGGCAACGGACUGCUGAGCUCUCUCUGUUCUUCCCCAGCUCUCUGGCAAAGCUGCAAGUGUUGGUGCAGUUCAGAAGCUGCUGCUGCUGACAGGGAUGACACAACUAGGGUUAUGUACAGAUGA
This 447-nucleotide long non-coding RNA is filed under the name Anser cygnoides (Swan goose). RNAcentral describes it as "lncRNA (ENSACDG00005017369.1)". Lineage: Eukaryota; Metazoa; Chordata; Aves; Anseriformes; Anatidae. The record is from RNAcentral.